RNAcentral lists this ribosomal RNA (484 nucleotides) under uncultured bacterium. RNAcentral describes it as "partial 16S ribosomal RNA". It matches the Rfam family "Bacterial small subunit ribosomal RNA", at positions 30 to 507 of the family's 1533-position model. The record is from RNAcentral.
AUUGAACGCUGGCGGCAGGCCUAACACAUGCAAGUCGAGCGGAUGAAGGGAGCUUGCUCCUGGAUUCAGCGGCGGACGGGUGAGUAAUGCCUAGGAAUCUGCCUGGUAGUGGGGGAUAACGUCCGGAAACGGGCGCUAAUACCGCAUACGUCCUGAGGGAGAAAGUGGGGGAUCUUCGGACCUCACGCUCUCAGAUGAGCCUAGGUCGGAUUAGCUAGUUGGUGGGGUAAAGGCCUACCAAGGCGACGAUCCGUAACUGGUCUGAGAGGAUGAUCAGUCACACUGGAACUGGGACACGGUCCAGGCUCCUGCGGGAGGGAGCAGUGGGGAAUAUUGGACAAUGGGCGAAAGCCUGGUCCAGCCAUGCCGCGUGUGUGGAGAAGGUCUUCGGAUUGUAAAGCACUUUAAGUGGGGAGGAAGGGCAGUAAGUUAAUACCUUGCUGUUUUGACGUUACCAACAGAAUAAGCACCGGCUAACUUCGUG